GGUUCCAUAGUGUAGUGGUUAGCAUGUCUGCUUUACAUGCAGAAGGUCUUGGGUUCAUGCCCCAGUGGAGCCA
RNAcentral lists this transfer RNA (73 nucleotides) under Pteropus alecto (black flying fox). It matches the Rfam family "tRNA". Rfam says of the family: Transfer RNA (tRNA) molecules are approximately 80 nucleotides in length. Lineage: Eukaryota; Metazoa; Chordata; Mammalia; Chiroptera; Pteropodidae. The record is from Rfam by way of RNAcentral. RNAcentral also lists the same sequence under 1 other name.